RNAcentral lists this transfer RNA (74 nucleotides) under Candidatus Neomicrothrix parvicella. RNAcentral describes it as "tRNA-Val". It matches the Rfam family "tRNA". Rfam says of the family: Transfer RNA (tRNA) molecules are approximately 80 nucleotides in length. Their secondary structure includes four short double-helical elements and three loops (D, anti-codon, and T loops). Lineage: Bacteria; Bacillati; Actinomycetota; Acidimicrobiia; Acidimicrobiales; Microthrixaceae. The record is from RNAcentral. RNAcentral also lists the same sequence under 4 other names.
GGGCCCAUAGCUCAGCUGGUUAGAGCGCUGCCUUCACACGGCAGAGGUCAGAGGUUCGAGUCCUCUUGGGCCCA